This 843-nucleotide ribosomal RNA is filed under the name uncultured Planctomycetota bacterium. Its description in RNAcentral is "bacterial SSU rRNA". It matches the Rfam family "Bacterial small subunit ribosomal RNA", at positions 58 to 902 of the family's 1533-position model. The record is from RNAcentral. Lineage: Bacteria; Pseudomonadati; Planctomycetota.
CAAGUCGAACGAAUCCCAGUUGCUGUAGCAAUACAGUGAUUGGGGGAAGUGGCGAAAGGGGCAGUAAAGCGUGGGUAACCUACCCUGGGGACCGGGAUAGCCUUCCUAACGGAUGGAUAAUACCGGGCGCCGUAGUCGAGUCACAUGGUUUGACUACGAAAUGAAUUUCGCCCUGGGAGGGGCUCACGUGCUAUUAGCUUGUUGGCGGGGUAACGGCCCACCAAGGCAGAGAUGGCUAGCGGGUGUGAGAGCACGACCCGCGCCACUGGCACUGAGACACUGGCCAGACUCCUACGGGAGGCUGCAGUCGAGGAUCUUCGGCAAUGGGCGCAAGCCUGACCGAGCGACGCCGCGUGCGCGAUGAAGGCCUUCGGGUUGUAAAGCGCUGUCGAGGGGGAGGAAGCCGAAAGGUUGACCUAUCCCUGGAGGAAGCACGGGCUAAGUUCGUGCCAGCAGCCGCGGUAAGACGAACCGUGCGAACGUUGUUCGGAUUCACUGGGCUUAAAGGGCGCGUAGGCGGGUUACCAAGUCAGGGGUGAAAUCUUUCGGCUCAACCGGAAAAGUGCCCCUGAUACUGGUAGUCUUGAGGGAGGUAGGGGCAUGUGGAACUUCUGGUGGAGCGGUGAAAUGCGUAGAUAUCGGAAGGAACGCCGGUGGCGAAAGCGACGUGCUGGUCCUCUUCUGACGCUGAGGCGCGAAAGCCAGGGGAGCGAACGGGAUUAGAUACCCCGGUAGUCCUGGCCCUAAACGAUGAGUACUAGGUUGUGGACUUGACAUGGGUUCACAGCCGAAGCAAAAGUGCUAAGUACUCCGCCUGGGGAGUAUGGUCGCAAGGCUGAACUC